RNAcentral lists this transfer RNA (66 nucleotides) under Dopasia gracilis (Burmese glass lizard). RNAcentral describes it as "tRNA-Arg". The record is from RNAcentral. Lineage: Eukaryota; Metazoa; Chordata; Lepidosauria; Squamata; Anguidae.
UAGAGAUUAGUCUAAAUAAGACAACUAGUUUCGACCUGGUAAACCUCGGCCCUACGAGAUCUCUAA